ACUUAUCUGAUGUGAUCAUGGAAAGACUCCAAAUGCUCAGUCAACAAAUCGGAAAAUAUCUACUGCUGUUUUUACUUACAGCAUCAGGUGUUAUCUGUCAAGAUUGGAUUCGACCAAUGGACCAGAGGACCAGUGUUUCCAGUACAGAAGGAGAAUCUGUAACACUGGAAUGUUCAUAUGACACAAGCAGCAGCUAUGUUUUCCUUUAUUGGUACAGGCAGUUUUCUAACACACAGCCAGAAUAUAUACUGCGUAAAGGUGGACGAUCAGAGACAUAUGAGGAUAUACCAGACCCCAAACGAUUUGGAACAACUACGUCCCAGAAAUCCACUUCACUGACCAUUAAAAGUGUAACUCUGUCAGAUUCAGCUCUCUAUUACUGUGCUCUAAGAGUAACAGCCCAGUGUUACAAAGUGCCUGAGAGGCUUUACAAAAACUCACUCAGAAAAUUUGCUUUGAACAGCGAGUUAUCAAAUGAAUAUCAAACCAAAUUUGUGUCUUCAUAA
Non-coding RNA from Cyprinus carpio (common carp), 506 nucleotides. NCBI's taxonomy places the organism in Eukaryota, Metazoa, Chordata, Actinopteri, Cypriniformes, Cyprinidae. The record is from the annotation of a RefSeq genome assembly.